CACUGAGAAGCUUUAAUUGGAGUAAGCGUUAGCCUUUUAAGCUAAAAUAUGGUGCCUCCCGACCACCCUCAGUGA
RNAcentral lists this transfer RNA (75 nucleotides) under Boops boops. Its description in RNAcentral is "tRNA-Lys". The record is from RNAcentral. Lineage: Eukaryota; Metazoa; Chordata; Actinopteri; Spariformes; Sparidae.